This 253-nucleotide ribosomal RNA is filed under the name uncultured bacterium. RNAcentral describes it as "partial 16S ribosomal RNA". It matches the Rfam family "Bacterial small subunit ribosomal RNA", at positions 524 to 776 of the family's 1533-position model. The record is from RNAcentral.
UACGUAGGGUGCGAGCGUUAAUCGGAAUUACUGGGCGUAAAGCGUGCGCAGGCGGUUUUGUAAGGCAGAUGGGAAAUCCCCGGGCUUAACCUGGGAAUGGCAUUUGGGACUGCAAGGCUGGAGUUUGGCAGAGGAGACUGGAAUUCCCGGUGUAGCAGUGAAAUGCGUAGAUAUCGGGAGGAAUACCGAUGGCGAAGGCAGGUCUCUGGGCUAUAACUGACGCUCAUGCACGAAAGCGUGGGGAGCAAACAGG